GGCGGCGUGCCUAACACAUGCAAGUCGAACGAGAAAGGGUAGCAAUACCUGAGUACAGUGGCGCACGGGUGAGUAACACGUGACUAACCUACCCUGGAGUGGGGAAUAACUGAGGGAAACCUUAGCUAAUGCCGCAUAAUACCUACGGGUCAAAGGAGCAAUUCGCUUCAGGAGGGGGUCGCGGCCGAUUAGCUAGUUGGCGGGGUAAUGGCCCACCAAGGCAAUGAUCGGUAUCCGGCCUGAGAGGGCGCACGGACACACUGGAACUGAAACACGGUCCAGACUCCUACGGGAGGCAGCAGUGGGGAAUUUUGCGCAAUGGGGGAAACCCUGACGCAGCAACGCCGCGUGGAGGAUGAAAUCCCUUGGGAUGUAAACUCCUUUCGAUCGGGACGAUUAUGACGGUACCGGAAGAAGAAGCCCCGGCUAACUUCGUGCCAGCAGCCGCGGUAAUACGAAGGGGGCAAGCGUUGUUCGGAAUUAU
This 484-nucleotide ribosomal RNA is filed under the name uncultured Acidobacteriota bacterium. Its description in RNAcentral is "bacterial SSU rRNA". It matches the Rfam family "Bacterial small subunit ribosomal RNA", at positions 38 to 554 of the family's 1533-position model. Lineage: Bacteria; Pseudomonadati; Acidobacteriota. The record is from RNAcentral.